UACGGAGGGUGCAAGCGUUAUCCGGAUUCACUGGGUUUAAAGGGUGCGUAGGCGGCGCGGUAAGUCGGGUGUGAAAUCUCGGAGCUUAACUCCGAAACUGCAUUCGAUACUGCCGUGCUUGAGGACUGGAGAGGAGACUGGAAUUCUCGGUGUAGCGGUGAAAUGCGUAGAUAUCGAGAGGAACACCUGCGGCGAAGGCGUGUUGCUGGGCUGACACUGACGCUGAAGCGCGAAAGCCAGGGGAGCGAACGGG
Molecule: ribosomal RNA, 253 nt
Filed under: uncultured bacterium
Lineage: Bacteria
Description: partial 16S ribosomal RNA
Rfam family: Bacterial small subunit ribosomal RNA
Source: RNAcentral